UACGGAGGGGGCUAGCGUUGUUCGGAAUUACUGGGCGUAAAGCGCGCGUAGGCGGUUACACAAGUUGGAUGUGAAAGCCCUCGGCUUAACUGAGGAAGUGCAUCCAAAACUGUGCAGCUAGAGUACUAAAGAGGGUCGCGGAAUUCCCGGUGUAGAGGUGAAAUUCGUAGAUAUCGGGAGGAACACCGGUGGCGAAGGCGGCGACCUGGGUAGAUACUGACGCUGAGGCGCGAAAGCGUGGGGAGCGAACAGG
Molecule: ribosomal RNA, 253 nt
Filed under: uncultured bacterium
Lineage: Bacteria
Description: partial 16S ribosomal RNA
Rfam family: Bacterial small subunit ribosomal RNA
Source: RNAcentral